Molecule: ribosomal RNA, 267 nt
Filed under: uncultured bacterium
Lineage: Bacteria
Description: partial 16S ribosomal RNA
Rfam family: Bacterial small subunit ribosomal RNA
Source: RNAcentral
UGGUGACCGGCGCACGGGUGAGUAACGCGUAUCCAACCUGCCCUUUACUAUGGGACAGCCCGUCGAAAGGCGGAUUAAUACCGUAUGUUGUCAUGUUGAUGCAUAUUUUCAUGACCAAAGGCUUCGGCCGGUAAAGGAUGGGGAUGCGUCUGAUUAGCUUGCCGGCGGGGUAACGGCCCACCGGGGCGACGAUCAGUAGGGGUUCUGAGAGGAAGGUCCCCCACAUUGGAACUGAGACACGGUCCAAACUCCUACGGGAGGCAGCAG